Molecule: non-coding RNA, 58 nt
Organism: Mycobacterium sp.
Lineage: Bacteria; Bacillati; Actinomycetota; Actinomycetes; Mycobacteriales; Mycobacteriaceae
Source: Rfam
CUGGUAGCUCCGUAUUGCCGUCUGACCCCCCGACCCGAUGGCAGUACGGAGCUCUUAA